GCGCCCCCGCCCCGCCUCCCCGCGCCCCGGGGUCUCGAGUCCCCGCCGCCGCCCCGGGCUUCGGGGCGCAGGGCGGCCUGGAGGCCGAGAUAAUAAACAGCCGCCAGGACAACAGUCGAGAAUUUAAAGAAGUCCAUUGAAGUUCCCCAUUUUGCAGUGUGGUCUUAAAGUAUUUCUUAACCCGACUACUAGGUUAACCUAACCUACCAGGUAAGUUUUAGUGAAUUUCAGUUGUCAAAGCACUAUCCGUUCAAUUAUAAGAAACAGGCAUUUUCAUGUAUAGCCCAGGUUCAGUCUCAAGAGUUUUCUUACCUCGAAGUUAUAACAAAACAUCCAGGUUUACUACUUAAAAAAAAAAAAAAAAAACCUAGUAAGCUGGGCUUUCUCAGACAUUCACAACCAGUGUGAAAGUUUUCAUUAGAGCCUUUCCUGAACACAAGCCCUGACCUCAAGCCGUCCACUGUCCUGGGAUUUGCCCUGUGGAGGUCUGAGCUACAGAAAUGCACAUUGAUUGCACUUCAAAGUCAGAAAACCUAAUUUGGGGGCAGAGCCCUAGGCCUGGGUCGCCUUAACCUUUAAGGUAGGUAAUAUUUGCAGCAAGUGACACAGAAAUGAAAACACUAUCUCAGGUACAAGGGCCCCUAAGAUAGCUUCUAUUCUUCAUAGCCAAGUGGUGCUGUGCUGUUCUCUUUGCUACGUCCUACCCAGAACCAGGGUUUCACUGGGUUUCCCUUGAGGUACACAUUUCCUGGAUCAUUACCAUUCAUGAGAUAAAGGAUUCUCUUACACACACACACACGCACACACACACACACACUUUAAACGUCAGGUUCCUAAAGCUUCAUAACAAAAUGAAGCUAAAAGAUCAUAAGCCACCAGAUUCAGCUUAUAAAUUAUAAGUCACCAAAAACAUUUUUCAAAACAACUGAUUUUGACCUCAGAGAAACUAGGCAACAGUUACUGUUUGUUUCUCGUUUAGUAGACUGGAGUAUGUCGUGAAAAAUCAAGCUUAGUACCUCGGCCGCUUUCUCGGUGAAGAAACGGUUAGUGUUCUCUUGUUUUUGCUUUCACAGAGACAACGGACAGCGUGUAUACUUGGGAGUGGAGAAUUUCCGGGGUUUGCUCUCCGAGAGAUGCUUGUCAGCCACAACUGGCCAGAUGUGGCUUCGUGGAACAGGCAACGAAGACCUCACUUACAGAGCCACGUCUUGGUGCUGCCGUCGUGAAUGUGGCCGCGAGUGGCACAGCCCCCCCUCCCCCGUUUGCAAGGAAGAUGAGAAGUGGAGGGGCCGGGAACCCCACAGCGGAAAUAACAGGAUCCUCCCUGCGAUCCCUCACCGCCCUUCUUCGGUCCUGCUUCCCAGAGGAUCUGGGCUGUUAGGACUAACAAUUCUCGUAGGAAGUAGGUCUAGGCUCCGUACCACGUGGCGUGAGGACAUCCAGUUGGGCCCAUCUGGUGCUGUUUUCGGGAACACGCUGCCACACCCUGGUUGCUGCAGAAAACUUUUCAUCAGGUGGAAAUCCCCCGGGGGCCACCUGAUAGCACAUUUCUACGGAGGUCUGAUCUGAA
Long non-coding RNA from Prionailurus viverrinus (fishing cat), 1570 nucleotides. RefSeq lists it as uncharacterized. Lineage: Eukaryota; Metazoa; Chordata; Mammalia; Carnivora; Felidae. The transcript is spliced from 2 exons. The record is from RefSeq and is a predicted model, not a curated record.